GACUGGCACUUGGAGAAGUGGCAAGUCUUCCAGUAUGGGGAGCAAAACAGCUAUGGGUCAAGUCCGAUAUCUUUAGGAGAAGUCUUAUUGUGAGGGCGAGUUAUAUAACACCAUAGGACUGGCCGUCCCAUAUGAAAAGAUUAUAUUAGAAUUGAAUGAAGCUUUGUUUAUAUAUUGAUAAUGACAGUAUAUAUAUCGUGUCUUGACUAAUUGCGUGCCAGCAGUCGCGGUAAUACGUAAGAGACUAGUGUUAUUCAUCUUAAUUAGGUUUAAAGGGUACCCAGACGGUCAAUAUAGCUUAUAAAAUGUUAGUACUUGACUAGAGUUUUAUGUAAGAGGGCAGUACUUGAGGAGGAGAGAUGAAAUUUCGUGAUACCAAAGGGACUCUGUAAAGGCGAAGGCAGCCCUCUAUGUAAAAACUGACGUUGAAGGACGAAGGCACAGAGAACAAACAGGAUUAGAUACCCAAGUAGUCUUUGCAGUACAUGAUGAAUGCCAUAGGUUAGAUUGGUCAAUUAUAGUCUAGGGUUAGUCUAGCAAACUAAUACCCUAUGCUAUAAUCCUAAUAUCUGGUCUAUAAAUGAAAGUGUAAGCAUUUCACCUCAAGAGUAAUGUGGCAACGCAGGAACUGAAAUCACUAGACCGUUUCUGACACCAGUAGUGAAGUAUGUUAUUUUAAUUCGAUAAUCCGCAA
This 694-nucleotide ribosomal RNA is filed under the name Fusarium oxysporum f. sp. radicis-cucumerinum. RNAcentral describes it as "SSU rRNA". It matches the Rfam family "Bacterial small subunit ribosomal RNA", at positions 311 to 964 of the family's 1533-position model. The record is from RNAcentral. Lineage: Eukaryota; Fungi; Ascomycota; Sordariomycetes; Hypocreales; Nectriaceae.